Molecule: ribosomal RNA, 849 nt
Filed under: uncultured bacterium
Lineage: Bacteria
Description: bacterial SSU rRNA
Rfam family: Bacterial small subunit ribosomal RNA
Source: RNAcentral
GACAGAGAUAGCUACUGGAAACGGUAGGUAAACUCGUGAUAAGCCCGAGAGGGGAAAGUGGAAGGCAGCCUUGGGAUGGACCUACUAUCCAUCAGGUAGUUGGUGAGGUAAAGGCUUACCAAGCCGAUGACGGAUAACCGGUGUGAGAGCAUGUACGGUCACAAGGGCACUGAGACACGGGCCCUACUCCUACGGGAGGCAGCAGUGGGGAAUAUUGGACAAUGGGCGAAAGCCUGAUCCAGCGACGCCGCGUGAAGGAAGAAGUCCUUCGGGAUGUAAACUUCUGAACUAAUCGAAUAAAAGGGUAGUGGACACACUACAGAAGAAGGUAGAUUAGGAAAAGUCCCGGCUAACUACGUGCCAGCAGCCGCGGUAAGACGUAGGGGGCGAGCGUUGCCCGGAAUCACUGGGUGUAAAGGGGACGUAGGCGGAUGAUCAAGUCAUCUGUGAAAAGAUUGCUCAACGAUUGGCUUGCGGAUGAAACUGGUCAUCUUGGGCGUAGCAGAGGUAGACGGAAUUACCUGAGUAGGGGUGAAAUCCGCAGAUACAGGUAAGAAGGCCGGUGAAGAAGUUGGUCUACUGGGCUACAGCUGACGCUGAGGUCCGAAAGCCAGGGGAGCGAACCGGAUUAGAUACCCGGGUAGUCCUGGCUGUAAACGAUGCUCACUAGGUGUAGGGAGCGAAAGACUCUCUGUGCUGAAGCGAACGCGCUAAGUGAGCCACCUGGGGAGUACGUCCGCAAGGAUGAAACUCAAAGGAAUGACGGGGGUCCGCACAAGCGGUGGAGCAUGUGGUUUAAUUCGAAGCUAACCGAAGAACCUUACCAGGGAUUGACAUGUAACUGAAGGU